RNAcentral lists this non-coding RNA (28 nucleotides) under Rattus norvegicus (Norway rat). The record is from RNAcentral. Lineage: Eukaryota; Metazoa; Chordata; Mammalia; Rodentia; Muridae.
UUCAAUCCCACAGUUGCUUGGCUAAUGC